UCUGAAGGACCAUUUAAAUGCAAAGGGUUGCACACCACUUCUGCCAUGCAAAAGAUUGAAGCAGAAGGUUCAACGGUGAGCUGAAACAGAUCACUACAGCACGACACCUUUCCAUACCACAUUCAUUAUUCCGUCAACAGCAAAAGUAUCCCAUAUCAUCAAGGUCGAACGUACUCUAGAUUUGAUGGACUUGUUUUGACCCUCAAAUUUUU
Molecule: long non-coding RNA, 212 nt
Filed under: Malus domestica (apple)
Lineage: Eukaryota; Viridiplantae; Streptophyta; Magnoliopsida; Rosales; Rosaceae
Description: long non-coding RNA (MDOM_LNC014123)
Source: RNAcentral